UUCCCUGUGGCUCAGUUGGUAGAGCAUGGUGUUUGCAACGCCAGGGUUGUGGGUUCGAUUCCCAUGGGGGGCA
RNAcentral lists this transfer RNA (73 nucleotides) under Salmo salar (Atlantic salmon). It matches the Rfam family "tRNA". Rfam says of the family: Transfer RNA (tRNA) molecules are approximately 80 nucleotides in length. The record is from Rfam by way of RNAcentral. Lineage: Eukaryota; Metazoa; Chordata; Actinopteri; Salmoniformes; Salmonidae.